AAGUGGAGCAAAACUGGCCUGGAAAAAUAUGUCCUUUUGUACCGAGAUGGACACUUUGAUCCAGCCAACCAGCAUCCAUCUUUUAUGAACCGGGUGGAUCUGCAGGACAGACAGAUGAAGGAUGGAGACGUGUCUUUGAUUCUGAAGGAUGUGACGACUGCUGAUAGUGGAACAUACGAGUGUCGUGUCCUCAUGGGUGGAACAAAAAAUGCCCUCAGCAUCACACUGAGAGUUGUUGAUCCUCCAGGUCAGACAGGAGGAGACACAGAGGAUGGAGGGAAGAGGAUGGAUCUGUUGGACUGAAAGUUGGUCUUCCAGUUGCUGUUUUUCUUCUUUUUGUUGUUGUUGUUGUUUUUCUUAUCUAUAGAAAACAUCAGAAAGGUGUUUUAUAACUGAAUUGUUAAAAAAAGGAAGGAGGCAGGAGGACGCACAGAGGCUGUAUCUGUUGGACUGAUUGUCAGUCUGUCAGUUUCUGCUGUUCAAAUUUGAGAAUUUUCAAUGUUUUCUUUGAAAAUCAAUAAUUAUCCUAACAAACACCAACAGAGGAUGCUCAAUUUUACUCUGUCAGAUGACAAAUAUGUCUAGAUUUCAUUUUGAUUUUGCAUUUCUCUGAUUAUUAUCAAACCUCAUUAGACUAUUAUAUCACCUUCAAUUUACUAUAUUACAGUCCAACAUUAGAAACAGUGGCUCUAUUUAUUCAGCUUUCCAGGUUAGCUGUUCAUCUCAGUGUAAAAGUUCAAAGCAAAUUCUUUGAAAAGUUCUUUAUAUUUCUUCCUCACUUAUAUGAUGAACAUCUGGGAGUUCCUAUUAUCAACCAAAACACAUCAAACAAAAUUUAGAGAUGCUUUUUUGUGUUUCUCCACACAAAUAUUUCAGAGUGAACUAAUUUCAAACAAAAGAUCUCAUGUUGUUCACAGUUUGAUUUUACACAGUAUUUAUGAGUUCAGUGUCUCGUAUGUUGCAGUAUCAGAAUAACUUCAGGUUCGGCUGUAAGAUCAAACUUUUUCUGUGAGAUUCGAAACACAAAUUAAUCCUCAUGUAGAGAUCAGCUGUUACAGUAUAAUUACUGUCACACAUACUGAACCGACUGACAACACAAACACUGUGUGUGAUGAAGAAAAGACGAAUUACUGUCGAUUAUAGACGAUCAAUAAUCUUCAGCUACAGCUGAAUAAAUGUUAUGAUGGACAGUGUUAUGAAACCAAAGUGAAGGUAAUUAUUUCCAUGUAGCUGCAGAGUCAGAGGUUUCCUCUCUGAUCUGUGAAGCUUUGAACUUUUCCUUCCAUGAAGGAGACGCUUCAGUCUGUUACUGCAGUAU
Haplochromis burtoni (Burton's mouthbrooder) is the source of this 1318-nucleotide long non-coding RNA. RefSeq lists it as uncharacterized. The transcript is spliced from 2 exons. The record is from RefSeq and is a predicted model, not a curated record. NCBI's taxonomy places the organism in Eukaryota, Metazoa, Chordata, Actinopteri, Cichliformes, Cichlidae.